UGUUAUCAUAGGUUACGCGCGACUCCAGAGGCAAUUUGGAAUCUCGGCACGAAAUCGUCUGAUGAAAAUCUGAGGUGCCCGACGCAUAACAUUUUGAACGUGCCACGGAGGAUCAAGGCAAAAAACGAGAGCAAAAAAUGGUGCACGCUGAAGGCGGAAAUGAAGCAUGAUCUGGCUUGCAUCUGGUCAUGAAGAAAUUGCUGACACGUUAGUUGCAGUCCACCUCCACCAACAGGGUGGAAAACAAAGAUCGCCAUUCCGAUUAGCUGCUAUCUCCCAGUUCAAGCACUUUUGUGUCUGGACACUGGUUCCUGUGGAUGGGGUGUUACAAGCUUUACUGUCUGAUAUAGAAGUGAUGAGCAUCCAUAAGGACACAUGCCAGAAAGGGAGUCUCUUUGGGAUGACAAACCCUCAUCACCUCAUGAGGAUACAAUGGUUGACGAAUGGUUCUCAAGCACAUCGAAACUUCCAACAAAUAAUUCAUGAAAA
This is a long non-coding RNA of Ornithodoros turicata, 489 nucleotides long. RefSeq lists it as uncharacterized. Lineage: Eukaryota; Metazoa; Arthropoda; Arachnida; Ixodida; Argasidae. The record is from RefSeq and is a predicted model, not a curated record. The transcript is spliced from 4 exons.